Molecule: ribosomal RNA, 209 nt
Filed under: uncultured Desulfuromonas sp.
Lineage: Bacteria; Pseudomonadati; Thermodesulfobacteriota; Desulfuromonadia; Desulfuromonadales; Desulfuromonadaceae
Description: partial 16S ribosomal RNA
Rfam family: Bacterial small subunit ribosomal RNA
Source: RNAcentral
UGGGGAUGACGUCAAGUCCUCAUGGCCCUUAUGUCCAGGGCUACACACGUGCUACAAUGGCCGGUACAAAGGGCUGCAAGACCGUGAGGUUGAGCGAAUCCCAGAAAGCCGGUCUCAGUUCGGAUUGGAGUUGCAACUCGACUCCAUGAAGUUGGAAUCGCUAGUAAUCGCGGAUCAGCAUGCCCGCGGUCGAAUACGGUUCCGGCCUU